GACCCCUCCCAGGCCGCUCGGAUCUCGCCACCCGACCCAUCUACAAACCCUACCUGCGAUGGCGGCUUGCCCGGCGGCAGCGCCUUCACGUUGCCCGGCGGCAGCUCCUUUACGUAGCUAAGGGUGCGUGUGAGAAGAAGGUGGUGGAUGUGAGCAACAAGCUGAGGGUGCGGACGAGCGCCGAGAUCGAGCAGCAGAGCACCUCCGGCCGAUUCACCAUGAUCGUCAACAGGCCAGUGGCCACCGGCCAGCAUGGCGGAUGUCAUAAUAAGGGAUAUCAAGGGCAAGUUCUUGAAGAUUACCGAAACCGCCGACAAGGUCUUAGUGCUACCAGAGCUCGUCCCGUACCAGAAGAAAGAUCAGUGGUUCAUGAUUUAAGAAGCUGGUAGGGUCAAACCAUGUGUUUGCAUGGUCGUCCUGAUUUAGAAGCUUUUGUGCAACUGAAUAGACGUGCGUCCAUGAAAGGUUAUCUUGUUUUUCUUACAUAAAUCAGUUUGUCACUCGUAUUUCAUUCAUCACCCUACUCUUCCAGUUGGAAGUUGAGGUAAACUAUUGACCAAGCCCACUUUUUAUUAAUUGUGGAUUUAUGUGUUUUUCUUCUUUCUUGUUUAUUAGCCAGUGUUGCCUACAUGUCACUUCAAUCUUCCACCAUUGAAGUUACUGUAAAAACAAAUCGUGAUGUUACUUUAAACAAAUGACCAUAUGUGCUUCCUUCCCACGAAA
Hordeum vulgare subsp. vulgare (domesticated barley) is the source of this 723-nucleotide long non-coding RNA. RefSeq lists it as uncharacterized. NCBI's taxonomy places the organism in Eukaryota, Viridiplantae, Streptophyta, Magnoliopsida, Poales, Poaceae. The transcript has 2 exons. The record is from RefSeq and is a predicted model, not a curated record.